GACGAACGCUGGCGGCGUGCUUAACACAUGCAAGUCGAACGGUAAGGCCCUUCGGGGUACCCGAGUGGCGAACGGGUGAGUAACACGUGGGUGAUCUGCCCUGCACUUCGGGAUAAGCCUGGGAAACUGGGUCUAAUACCGGAUAGGACCACUGCCUGCAUGGGUGGCGGUGGAAAGCUUUUGCGGUGUGGGAUGGGCCCGCGGCCUAUCAGCUUGUUGGUGGGGGGAUGGCCUACCAAGGCGACGACGGGUAGCCGGCCUGAGAGGGUGACCGGCCACACUGGGACUGAGAUACGGCCCAGACUCCUACGGGAGGCAGCAGUGGGGAAUAUUGCACAAUGGGCGCAAGCCUGAUGCAGCGACGCCGCGUGAGGGAUGACGGCCUUCGGGUUGUAAACCUCUUUCAGCACCGACGAAGCGCAAGUGACGGUAGGUGCAGAAGAAGGACCGGCCAACUACGUGCCAGCCGCCGCAGUAA
Molecule: ribosomal RNA, 478 nt
Filed under: uncultured bacterium
Lineage: Bacteria
Description: partial 16S ribosomal RNA
Rfam family: Bacterial small subunit ribosomal RNA
Source: RNAcentral